UUCAUCAGCCAUAUCACUCUGAAACUCACAACUCACAACUGGCAACCCACUGAAGCUAAGCAGGUGUGAGCCUGGUCAGUACCUGGAUGGGAGACCUCCUGGGAAAGCUAAGGUUGCUGCUGGAA
Molecule: ribosomal RNA, 125 nt
Organism: Lepisosteus oculatus (spotted gar)
Lineage: Eukaryota; Metazoa; Chordata; Actinopteri; Semionotiformes; Lepisosteidae
Source: Ensembl